ACCGGCGCACGGGUGCGUAACACGUAUACAAUCUACCUAAAACAGGGGGAUAGCCUUUCGAAAGAGAGAUUAAUACCCCGUAAUAUAUUUGAUGGCAUCAUUGAAUAUUGAAAGCUCCGGCGGUUUUAGAUGAGUAUGCGCCUGAUUAGCUAGUUGGUGAGGUAACGGCUCACCAAGGCGACGAUCAGUAGGGGAUCUGAGAGGACUAACCCCCACACUGGUACUGAGACACGGACCAGACUCCUACGGGAGGCAGCAGUAAGGAAUAUUGGUCAAUGGAGGCAACUCUGAACCAGCCAUGCCGCGUGCAGGAAGAAGGCCCUAUGGGUCGUAAACUGCUUUUGUACCAGAGAAAACCCGAGUACGUGUACUCGGUUGAUAGUAUGGUAAGAAUAAGCAUCGGCUAACUUCGUGCCAGCAGCCGCGGUAAGACGAAGGAUGCAAGCGUUAUCCGGAUUCAUUGGGUUUAAAGGGUGCGUAGGCGGACUUGUAAGUCAGUGGUGAAAUCUCUCAGCUUAACUGAGAAACUGCCAUUGAUACUGCAGGUCUAGAGUAUAGAUGACGUUGGCGGAAUAUGACAUGUAGUGGUGAAAUACUUAGAUAUGUCAUAGAACACCGAUUGCGAAGGCAGCUAACGAAACUAUAACUGACGCUGAGGCACGAAAGUGCGGGGAUCAAACAGGAUUAGAUACCCUGGUAGUCCGCACCGUAAACGAUGAUUACUCGU
RNAcentral lists this ribosomal RNA (727 nucleotides) under uncultured bacterium. Its description in RNAcentral is "bacterial SSU rRNA". It matches the Rfam family "Bacterial small subunit ribosomal RNA", at positions 94 to 820 of the family's 1533-position model. The record is from RNAcentral.